GGGUUGUGAGGUUAAGCGACUAAGCGUACACGGUGGAUGCCCUGGCAGUCAGAGGCGAUGAAGGACGUGCUAAUCUGCGAUAAGCGUCGGUAAGGUGAUAUGAACCGUUAUAACCGGCGAUUUCCGAAUGGGGAAACCCAGUGUGUUUCGACACACUAUCAUUAACUGAAUCCAUAGGUUAAUGAGGCGAACCGGGGGAACUGAAACAUCUAAGUACCCCGAGGAAAAGAAAUCAACCGAGAUUCCCCCAGUAGCGGCGAGCGAACGGGGAGCAGCCCAGAGCCUGAAUCAGUGUGUGUGUUAGUGGAAGCGUCUGGAAAGGCGCGCGAUACAGGGUGACAGCCCCGUACACAAAAAUGCACAUACUGUGAGCUCGAUGAGUAGGGCGGGACACGUGGUAUCCUGUCUGAAUAUGGGGGGACCAUCCUCCAAGGCUAAAUACUCCUGACUGACCGAUAGUGAACCAGUACCGUGAGGGAAAGGCGAAAAGAACCCCGGCGAGGGGAGUGAAAAAGAACCUGAAACCGUGUACGUACAAGCAGUGGGAGCACGCUUAGGCGUGUGACUGCGUACCUUUUGUAUAAUGGGUCAGCGACUUAUAUUCUGUAGCAAGGUUAACCGAAUAGGGGAGCCGAAGGGAAACCGAGUCUUAACUGGGCGUUAAGUUGCAGGGUAUAGACCCGAAACCCGGUGAUCUAGCCAUGGGCAGGUUGAAGGUUGGGUAACACUAACUGGAGGACCGAACCGACUAAUGUUGAAAAAUUAGCGGAUGACUUGUGGCUGGGGGUGAAAGGCCAAUCAAACCGGGAGAUAGCUGGUUCUCCCCGAAAGCUAUUUAGGUAGCGCCUCGUGAAUUCAUCUCCGGGGGUAGAGCACUGUUUCGGCAAGGGGGUCAUCCCGACUUACCAACCCGAUGCAAACUGCGAAUACCGGAGAAUGUUAUCACGGGAGACACACGGCGGGUGCUAACGUCCGUCGUGAAGAGGGAAACAACCCAGACCGCCAGCUAAGGUCCCAAAGUCAUGGUUAAGUGGGAAACGAUGUGGGAAGGCCCAGACAGCCAGGAUGUUGGCUUAGAAGCAGCCAUCAUUUAAAGAAAGCGUAAUAGCUCACUGGUCGAGUCGGCCUGCGCGGAAGAUGUAACGGGGCUAAACCAUGCACCGAAGCUGCGGCAGCGACGCUUAUGCGUUGUUGGGUA
This 1198-nucleotide ribosomal RNA is filed under the name Escherichia coli. Its description in RNAcentral is "partial 23S ribosomal RNA". It matches the Rfam family "Bacterial large subunit ribosomal RNA", at positions 1 to 1230 of the family's 2925-position model. The record is from RNAcentral. Lineage: Bacteria; Pseudomonadati; Pseudomonadota; Gammaproteobacteria; Enterobacterales; Enterobacteriaceae.